This 78-nucleotide transfer RNA is filed under the name Candidatus Bathyarchaeota archaeon. RNAcentral's name for it is "tRNA-Gly". It matches the Rfam family "tRNA". Rfam says of the family: Transfer RNA (tRNA) molecules are approximately 80 nucleotides in length. RNAcentral also lists the same sequence under 1 other name. Lineage: Archaea; Thermoproteati; Candidatus Bathyarchaeota. The record is from RNAcentral.
GCGGCCGUGGUCUAGCUGGACUAGGAUGGGGGCCCUCCAAGCCCCAGAUCGCGGGUUCAAAUCCCGCCGGCCGCACCA